AAUAGAUACCCAGGUAGUCCACGCCGUAAACGAUGAGUGCUAAGUGUUAGGGGGUUUCCGCCCCUUAGUGCUGCAGCUAACGCAUUAAGCACUCCGCCUGGGGAGUACGGUCGCAAGACUGAAACUCAACGGAAUUGACGGGGGCCCGCACAAGCGGUGGAGCAUGUGGUUUAAUUCGAAGCAACGCGAAGAACCUUACCAGGUCUUGACAUCCCAUUGACCACUAUGGAGACAUAGUUUUCCCUUCGGGGACAACGGUGACAGGUGGUGCAUGGUUGUCGUCAGCUCGUGUCGUGAGAUGUUGGGUUAAGUCCCGCAACGAGCGCAACCCUUGUUCUUAGUUGCCAUCAUUUAGUUGGGCACUCUAAGGAGACUGCCGGUGACAAACCGGAGGAAGGUGGGGAUGACGUCAAAUCAUCAUGCCCCUUAUGACCUGGGCUACACACGUGCUACAAUGGACGGUACAAACGGUUGCCAACCCGCGAGGGGAGCUAAUCCGAUAAAACCGUUCUCAGUUCGGAUUGUAGGCUGCAACUCGCCUACA
RNAcentral lists this ribosomal RNA (544 nucleotides) under uncultured bacterium. RNAcentral's name for it is "bacterial SSU rRNA". It matches the Rfam family "Bacterial small subunit ribosomal RNA", at positions 777 to 1320 of the family's 1533-position model. The record is from RNAcentral.